GACGAACGCUGGCGGCGUGCCUAAUACAUGCAAGUAGAACGCUGAAGGAGGAGCUUGCUUCUCUGGAUGAGUUGCGAACGGGUGAGUAACGCGUAGGUAACCUGCCUGGUAGCGGGGGAUAACUAUUGGAAACGAUAGCUAAUACCGCAUAAUAGUAGAUGUUGCAUGACAUUUGCUUAAAAGGUGCAAUUGCAUCACUACCAGAUGGACCUGCGUGGUAUUAGCUAGUUGGUGAGGUAACGGCUCACCAAGGCGACGAUACAUAGCCGACCUGAGAGGGUGAUCGGCCACACUGGAACUGAGACACGGCCCAGACUCCUACGGGAGGCAGCAGUAGGGAAUCUUCGGCAAUGGACGGAAGUCUGACCGAGCAACGCCGCGUGAGUGAAGAAGGUUUUCGGAUCGUAAAGCUCUGUUGUAAGAGAAGAACGAGUGUGAGAGUGGAAAGUUCACACUGUGACGGUAUCUUACCAGAAAGGGACGGCUAACUACGUG
RNAcentral lists this ribosomal RNA (495 nucleotides) under uncultured bacterium. Its description in RNAcentral is "partial 16S ribosomal RNA". It matches the Rfam family "Bacterial small subunit ribosomal RNA", at positions 28 to 507 of the family's 1533-position model. The record is from RNAcentral.